AUGAAAUUUUCCCACUCUAAAUCUGAAUUAUUAUUUUUGCUAUUUAUACUAUUUUUGCUACUUUUGCUAUUUUUGCUACUUUUACUACUUUUGCUAUUUUUGCUACUUUUGCUAUUUAUACUAUUUUUGCUAUUUAUACUAUUUUUGCUACUUUUGCUACUUUUGCUAUUUUUGCUACUUUUGCUAUUUUUGCUACUUUUGCUACUUUUGCUACUUUUGCUACUUUUGCUACUUUUACUACUUUUGCUACUUUUACUACUUUUGCUACUUUUACUACUUUUACUACUUUUGCUAUUUAUACUAUUUAUACUGUUUAUACUGUUUGUUCUAUUUUUUCUAUGUACGUUAUUUAUGUUAUUUAUUUUAUUUUUUUUACUUUUCUUAGUUGCGCUAUUUAUACUAGUUAUACUAUUUAUACUAGUUAUACUGUUUAUACUAUUUAUACUGUUUAUACUAUUUAUACUAUUUGUUCGAUUUAUUUUAUUAAUUUUAUUAAUUUUAUUUAUUUUAUUUGUUUUAUUAAUUUUAUUAGUUUUUUUAAUGUUACUUAUGUUAUUUACGCUGUUUAUACUAUUUAUACUAUUUAUGCUAUUUGCGCUAUGUAUACUAAUUAUACUGUUUAUACUACUUCUAUUACUUUUACUACUUCUAUUACUUUUGCUACUUCUAUUACUUUUACCAUCUCUAUUACUUUUACCAUCUCUAUUACUUUUGCUACUUCUAUUACUUUUGCUACUUCUUUUAGUUUUUAUAUUUUCGUCCUGUUCGUCCAUUCCGUUCUGUUUGUUUGUUUGUUUGUUUGUUUUUUUUUUUAUAAAACUUGUAGUUUCAUUUUUACUAAUACUAUUCUCACUGAUUCUAUCUUCACUUAUUCUGCUUUCGUUAGUUAUGCUUUCGAUCAUACCACUGUUUAUCUCUACGUUCUCGCUUCUGUCUGUAUUUUCACCUAAAAUCUCUUUUGUACUCGAUUCUAAAUAUUUUUCAUUCAUUUCUGUUUCCGUCCUGUUACUAUAUUCUUCUACAUCCAUAUUUAUUAAUGUUUUUUUUUUUUUUUUUUUAUUUGUAUUAUAUAUUUUUUUAUUUAUACUUUUUUUGUUUUUAUUAUUUAUAUUAUCGAUGUCAUUUUUUUUACUUUUCUUACCGGAUUCGCUACUGUUACUGUAG
RNAcentral lists this long non-coding RNA (1164 nucleotides) under Piliocolobus tephrosceles (Ugandan red Colobus). Its description in RNAcentral is "lncRNA (ENSPTEG00000002609.1)". The record is from RNAcentral. Lineage: Eukaryota; Metazoa; Chordata; Mammalia; Primates; Cercopithecidae.